This 253-nucleotide ribosomal RNA is filed under the name uncultured bacterium. RNAcentral's name for it is "partial 16S ribosomal RNA". It matches the Rfam family "Bacterial small subunit ribosomal RNA", at positions 524 to 776 of the family's 1533-position model. The record is from RNAcentral.
GACAGAGGGUGCAAACGUUGUUCGGAAUUACUGGGCGUAAAGGGCUCGUAGGUGGCCAACUAAGUCAGACGUGAAAUCCCUCGGCUUAACCGGGGAACUGCGUCUGAUACUGGAUGGCUUGAGUUUGGGAGAGGGAUGCGGAAUUCCAGGUGUAGCGGUGAAAUGCGUAGAUAUCUGGAGGAACACCGGUGGCGAAGGCGGCAUCCUGGACCAACACUGACACUGAGGAGCGAAAGCCAGGGGAGCAAACGGG